CGAGGAUCAUCACUCGGGAGGCGAGCGAUGAAUAACAGUACGGCCAGGUUACAGUUUUUCUCAAAAAUUCACCCAAUCCCAUGGUUCUAACCCCAAAACCGAUUCUAAACAUCAUUACAUGAAACAUCUAACGUCUGUUCAUCAUUUCUACCUCAAUUCACCCUAAUUCCAACAUUUAAUCAUCAAUUCUCAAUCAUAACCCUAAUUCCCAAUUCUCCAAAUUUGUUCAUAAUCUUUAUUAAAACAGAAUCAGAAUUAUAUAACUAAAAUCAUUGCAAGUUAGCC
This 285-nucleotide long non-coding RNA is filed under the name Medicago truncatula (barrel medic). RNAcentral describes it as "long non-coding RNA (MTRU_LNC006386)". The record is from RNAcentral. Lineage: Eukaryota; Viridiplantae; Streptophyta; Magnoliopsida; Fabales; Fabaceae.